Small nucleolar RNA from Anolis carolinensis (green anole), 205 nucleotides. Its record names the gene SNORA73. It matches the Rfam family "Small nucleolar RNA SNORA73 family". Rfam says of the family: U17 (SNORA73A and SNORA73B) also known as E1 belongs to the H/ACA class of small nucleolar RNAs (snoRNAs). Vertebrate U17 is intron-encoded and ranges in length from 200-230 nucleotides, longer than most snoRNAs. NCBI's taxonomy places the organism in Eukaryota, Metazoa, Chordata, Lepidosauria, Squamata, Anolidae. The record is from Ensembl.
CCAACGGGGAUACCUGGGGGAGGUUGCUCUCUCUCAGCUCUGUCCGUGCGGCGUGUGGGAGCCGAGGCCUUUGGCCGGUGAUGUAUAGUCCCCUUCCGCGCCGUUGGAGAGCAAACGGGCCCUGAGGCCUGCAGCCUGCAUAUUCCUACUGCUUCUCUGAGCCUUUGGGCUGUGACUGAGGAGACAAACCAUGCAGGAGACACUU